GACGAACGCUGGCGGCGUGCUUAACACAUGCAAGUCGAACGGAAAGGCCCUGCUCUUGCUGCGUGCUCGAGAGGCGAAAGGGUGUGUAACACGCGUGUAAACUGUCCCUGACUUUGGGAUAUCUUCAGGAAACAGGGGCUCUAAUCGCAUAUGAGCUCCUGCAGCACGGUGUGGGUUGGAAAGAUUCGGCGGUUGGGGAUGUGCUCGCGGCUUAUCAGCUUGUUGGUGAGGUAGUGGCUUACCAAGGCUUUGACGGGUAGCCGGCCUGAGAGGGUGACCGGCCACAUUGGGACUGAGAUACGGCCCAGACUGCUACGGGAGGCAGCAGUGGGGAAUAUUGCGCAAUGGGCGGAAGCCUGAUGCAGCAACGCCGCGUGCGGGAUGACGGCCUUCGGGUUAUAAACCGCUUUCGACUGUGACGAAGCGGGAGUGACGGUAAUGGGUAAAAAAGCACCGGCUAACUACGUG
RNAcentral lists this ribosomal RNA (468 nucleotides) under uncultured bacterium. RNAcentral's name for it is "partial 16S ribosomal RNA". It matches the Rfam family "Bacterial small subunit ribosomal RNA", at positions 28 to 507 of the family's 1533-position model. The record is from RNAcentral.